AAUCCAUAGGUUAAUGAGGCGAACCGGGGGAACUGAAACAUCUAAGUACCCCGAGGAAAAGAAAUCAACCGAGAUUCCCCCAGUAGCGGCGAGCGAACGGGGAGGAGCCCAGAGCCUGAAUCAGCAUGUGUGUUAGUGGAAGCGUCUGGAAAGGCGCGCGAUACAGGGUGACAGCCCCGUACACAAAAGCGCAUGUGCUGUGAGCUCGAUGAGUAGGGCGGGACACGUGGUAUCCUGUCUGAAUAUGGGGGGACCAUCCUCCAAGGCUAAAUACUCCUGACUGACCGAUAGUGAACCAGUACCGUGAGGGAAAGGCGAAAAGAACCCCGGCGAGGGGAGUGAAAAAGAACCUGAAACCGUGUACGUACAAGCAGUGGGAGCCCCACCACCAAAGCAUUUGCUGUACCGCGUUGACGGAGCGAAGCGACGUCAAACCGAUAAAACAGCAGUGUAAAGUGAGCCGCAGGGCGCUUUGCGCGACAGCGCAAAGGCAGGCGGUUUCGCGUAGC
Molecule: ribosomal RNA, 509 nt
Filed under: Salmonella enterica subsp. enterica
Lineage: Bacteria; Pseudomonadati; Pseudomonadota; Gammaproteobacteria; Enterobacterales; Enterobacteriaceae
Also listed under: 1 other name
Description: partial 23S ribosomal RNA
Rfam family: Bacterial large subunit ribosomal RNA (bases 1-366)
Source: RNAcentral